Molecule: long non-coding RNA, 2898 nt
Organism: Gallus gallus (chicken)
Lineage: Eukaryota; Metazoa; Chordata; Aves; Galliformes; Phasianidae
Exons: 3
Source: RefSeq, a predicted model, not a curated record
UAAAGCCCAGAUCCAAGAAAUGACUCAAGGCCUCUCUGCAUUGCCAACUAACUUCCCCCAUGUCUGCUCCCAUUCCUCACUGUCCAUGGUAGACACUGCUCUGAAGUCUGCCAGCAAGUUCUCUCCAAGACGAAGCUCUCCAGAGCCAUCUCUCACAGAUGCAAUGCAUAUUCUCAUCACCUCCUGUUUCACAGCUCUAAUGAGCUGUGAAAAAUCUCUGGUAUUAUCUCAGCUAUCUUGGGCUAACGUAACCACUCAGCUUUAGGAUUCCCCUGUGGGUCCCAGCUGGCAUGUAAUGCAGAUAAGGCCAUUUGGUUCAAGGAUUAACUAGUACUCAACAGUGCCCUCAAUUCCUGUAGGCCAAGGAGGGAACUGAGCCCAGCUCUCCUUGCAUGGGGAUUCUUCUCACAAAUGGAAGGUACGAGCAGGUGCACCGCUCUUCGGUCAAUGAAGAAAACAGCAUGAGCAGAGUCAAGAAGAGCCGAGCGAGUGAAUCACGGCGGCACAAAUCAGCAGUGAAGAAGCAGGCUGCUGCAGCACCUGUACUGAAAGCCUGAGGCCAGCGAGGAGAGCGGCAGAAAGGCUGCAGUGGGAAAUGGCAUGGGGAGCACCAUAUGCACUGAGCACCGAAAUGCUGAGAAUGGCAUUUUCAGCUAUCCCAAAGACAGGGAAAACGUCUGUGUCCUUGAGUAAGGUCAAAGAUGAACUGAUCAGGACCAUACUUGUAGCAUUAGGCAAGUGCGGAUCUGCUUUUAUUUAAAAUGCAACGUCUCGAUGCUAAUUGUGCUGGGUUGCUUCACAGGGAUGCAACCUACUGUGUGCAGGUUGGAAUCUAGCACUGCUGCUGGGUAUUUCUUUAGAUGAGAAAUGAGUAUCAAGAUGGUUUAUGUAAGGCUUACAACAAAAAGCAGUCCGUUAGUCAGUCCAUCCAAUUAACCACUCUGUAUGCACACCGGGGAGAGGUUUUGUUUUGGCUCCACUGUGUUGUUGUUUUAGUUAUACAUAUAUAUAUGCAAAAAUUGUUUAAAAUAGGAAUAUAGUUGAAUGGUAUUCUCAAAGUGGGCUUUGCUACUGCUAAUAGGAUGUUUAAAAUCUAUGUAUUGCUGAACUGUUCUGCUACGUGUGUUUUUCUUUCCUGGUUUUAGAUUUCCCCAAUCUGCCGACUUCUCUAGUUGGGAUAAAGUAGGAGAAAAUGUAUUGUGGUUGAAAUGAAAACUGGCAGUUACAGCCUUCCCUUGGCAAGGAGGGCUAAGGUCCCUUCACCAACUCGGGCAGAAGGCAGAAAUCUUUCCUGGACCAUAAGAAUUCUAAUAACUCGAGGAUAAAAAGCAAUUCCCACUUAUACGGCUAAAAUUUCCAAUCAAGUCAUUAACACAGGCAGAAAGGAGACUCGGUAGAACAAUGUGUGUGGGACAGCAGAGGACUGCAGAAAUGAUGAGGAUUCGUUUCUUCAGUGCAUAAUCUAUCCAUUAGAUUGGCUAACAUUAGCGUGGUAAUUCAUGUUAUUAGUGAUUUUAAUAAUGAUUUUUUAUCUAUCAGUCUGUCAAUUGACAACAGGUUCUCUGAAGGACGCAGGUGAUGGUAGGUUGCCUGUUGUAGGAGGUGCAUUAGGAGUAAGUCAGCAAAUGGAUUCCUACUCGAAAAACUCAAUUAAUUUCCUAAGAUGAAGUUCUGAUCUUUGAUCUCUCGCAGUUUUGAUGAACAUCGACAGUAUUAGAAUUGCAGGUGCAGACAUCCAGAACAAUCUAUUAAGUUAACAGUCAGAGAGAGUUGGGUUAUAAUAAUCACAGCAUGAAAGCUACAUUUUUUCAGAGAUAGAGAACUCGAAGGGACGGAGGCUGGAGGAAGUGCAGAGAUGUGUUAGUUGAAAAGCCUUGCUCUUGAAUUCUGAUUAGCUAAGCAGGAGAGUAAAAUGCUGCUCAGAUAGGCAAGUCGUAACCAGUGUAGCAAGGCUAUUAUUCUUGCUUAACUUUUGACUAUCUCCGACCAACGCCAUGCCUCCAGAACUUCCUUGGUGCUCCCUAAAUUCUCAAUGCAAUCCCUCAGUGCUGCUCCUUUCACGAGUGUGGAAAGGGAAGGGCCAUCCCCAGCGGACCCCAGCGCUGAGAAAUCCUGUGUCUGACUUGGAACGUGGUGCACUGCUUUAUCUGCUAAAUAAAAUCUAAAUGAUAAAUGCUGAUAUAUUAAUGAAAUGUAAGUUUGGGGAUUUCACAUAAGAAAGCUGCUGUCAUUGCUUUAAUUUAUAUGGGGACAGUUAUGUGCAGAUGGUAUAGACAGAGUUAUUUCCUGACUGUCAUCCAAAGUAAGUUGAUUUGUGGUUUAAUGACUUUUAUCAAAAUGAAAUAAGCAUUUGAUCUUUGGAUUUGAUCUGGCUAUAUCUGCAGCUGCUACACCGCUACAGCAAUUACUUCCAAACUGGGCUUUUUGCCCAGGCAAAUGGAGUUCGUCCUUGUUUCAUGUCUCAUUGACUGUCCUGAUAAUACAUACUGUUCUGCUGUAGGUUUCUUCUUCCUCCAAAUUUGAUAGGUGUGAAAACUUAAGUAGUAAGUCUUUCAUUUAUUUCUUUAUUUUAUUAUUGAUGUUGUCCAGUAGUAAAGCCUCCACUACCACUAGUUAAUUUCAUCUUGAAGCUGCUCCUAGCUAUAAUUUAGUAUAUGGAUGUGUAAUUCCCUCUACGUAAUCCUGCUAUGUCCUUUUUACAGAGGAACAAGAAAUGUAUUUAUGAAUUCUAAAUCUAGCAAUUCCAGUGGUAAUCUUCACAUCUGCCUGUAUGUUUUCAGGAAGAAAUUGCUCUGCCAUGUUGUCUACCCAUACUGGACUAAAUCCACUCCUAAUGCAGUUCCUUUGAACUGCAUUAGGCAGCAGACUUAUACUAGGAAUAAAUUUACCUCCUUUCAC